GGGAAAUGGACAAUGGCCCUACCUGUUGAACCACUCUCUGAGGGAGACGGCUUGGGGGUGUAACCUCUUUCAGUAGGGCGAAGCGCAAGGACGGUACCUCCAGAGAAGCACCGGCGAACUACGUGCAGCAGCUGCGGUAAUACGUAGGGUGCGAGCGUUGUCCGGAUUUACUGUGCGUAAAGAGCUCGUAGACNCUUGUCGCGUCGUCUGUGAAAACCGAGGCUUAACCUCGGGCCUGCAGGCGAUACGGGCAGACUUGAGUACUGUAGGGGAGACUGGAAUUCCUGGUGUAGCGGUGGAAUGCGCAGAUAUCAGGAGGAACACCGGUGGCGAAGGCGGGUCUCUGGGCAGUAACUGACGCUGAGGAGCGAAAGCGUGGGUAGCGAACAGGAUUAGAUACCCUGGUAGUCCACGCCGUAAACGGUGGGUACUAGGUGUGGGUUUCCUUCCACGGGAUCCGUGCCGUAGCUAACGCAUUAAGUACCCCGCCUGGGGAGUACGGCCGCAAGGCUAAAACUCAAAGGAAUUGACGGGGGCCCGCACAAGCGGCGGAGCAUGUGGAUUAAUUCGAUGCAACGCGAAGAACCUUACCUGGGUUUGACAUAUAGAGGAUCGCCGCAGAGAUGUGGUUUGCCUUGUGCCUUCUAUACAGGUGGUGCAUGGCUGUCGUCAGCUCGUGUCGUGAGAUGUUGGGUUAAGUCCCGCAACGAGCGCAACCCUUGUCUCAUGUUGCCAGCACGUUAUGGUGGGGACUCGUGAGAGACUGCCGGGGUCAACUCGGAGGAAGGUGGGGAUGACGUCAAGUCAUCAUGCCCCUUAUGUCCAGGGCUUCACACAUGCUACAAUGGCGCGUACAGAGGGCUGCGAUACCGUGAGGUGGAGCGAAUCCCUUAAAGCGCGUCUCAGUUCGGAUUGGGGUCUGCAACUCGACCCCAUGAAGUCGGAGUCGCUAGUAAUCGCAGAUCAGCAACGCUGCGGUGAAUACGUUCCCGGGCCUUGUACACACCGCCCGUCACGUCAUGAAAGUCGGUAACACCCGAAGCCGGUGGCCUAACCCCUUGUGGGAGGGAGCUGUCCGAAUGGGAUGCUUUUU
RNAcentral lists this ribosomal RNA (1093 nucleotides) under Tsukamurella paurometabola. Its description in RNAcentral is "bacterial SSU rRNA". It matches the Rfam family "Bacterial small subunit ribosomal RNA", at positions 366 to 1473 of the family's 1533-position model. The record is from RNAcentral. Lineage: Bacteria; Bacillati; Actinomycetota; Actinomycetes; Mycobacteriales; Tsukamurellaceae.